GACGAACGCUGGCGGCGUGCCUAAUACAUGCAAGUCGAACGCUUUGAUUUUCACCGGAGCUUGCUCCACCGAAAAUCAAAGAGUGGCGGACGGGUGAGUAACACGUGGGCAACCUGCCCAACAGAGGGGGAUAACACUUGGAAACAGGUGCUAAUACCGCAUAAUUUGUUUUCCCGCAUGGGAGAAUAAUAAAAGACGCUUCGGUGUCGCUGUUGGAUGGGCCCGCGCUGCAUUAGUUAGUUGGUGGGGUAAUGGCCUACCAAGACCGCGAUGCAUAGCCGACCUGAGAGGGUGAUCGGCCACACUGGGACUGAGACACGGCCCAGACUCCUACGGGAGGCAGCAGUAGGGAAUCUUCGGCAAUGGACGAAAGUCUGACCGAGCAACGCCGCGUGAGUGAAGAAGGUUUUCGGAUCGUAAAACUCUGUUGUUAGAGAAGAACAAGUGGGAGAGUAACUGUUCCCACCUUGACGGUAUCUAACCAGAAAGCCACGGCUAACUACGUGCCAGCAGCCGCGGUAAUACGUAGGUGGCAAGCGUUGUCCGGAUUUAUUGGGCGUAAAGCGAGCGCAGGCGGUUUCUUAAGUCUGAUGUGAAAGCCCUCGGCUCAACCGGGGAAGGUCAUUGGAAACUGGGGAACUUGAAUGCAGAAGAGGAGAGUGGAAUUCCAUGUGUAGCGGUGAAAUGCGUAGAUAUAUGGAGGAACACCAGUGGCGAAGGCGACUCUCUGGUCUGUAAUUGACGCUGAGGCUCGAAAGCGUGGGGAGCAAACAGG
Molecule: ribosomal RNA, 775 nt
Filed under: uncultured bacterium
Lineage: Bacteria
Description: bacterial SSU rRNA
Rfam family: Bacterial small subunit ribosomal RNA
Source: RNAcentral